Molecule: unclassified non-coding RNA, 1087 nt
Filed under: Bombus terrestris (buff-tailed bumblebee)
Lineage: Eukaryota; Metazoa; Arthropoda; Insecta; Hymenoptera; Apidae
Description: misc RNA ENSBTSG00005023731.1
Source: RNAcentral
AAUUUGGUCGCGUUAAAGCAGUAGGCACUUCCUGCAGUUUGACAUGGUGAUAUUCGCUCUGAAGCAUUUCGCAGUCUGCCUCCAAACAAAUCAUCGUACACCUCGACGCACCCAGAGCAUUUUGCAUGCACGAAACCAUGUAAAGCCGCGGAGAGACUGAAUAUUUUCGCGUUUUGUUCCACGAGAUUUUAUGGCCAAAUCAGUGUCGGACCUUGACGAGUGGAAACUUUUCAGACUGACCUAUUGAUACAUAUGUAGUUGCUUCAUCCACGAUCCUAGUCAUCCAAAUUUAUCGAUACCGCGAAGAAACAAACAUGGAAAUUAACUGCACGCUUCUAGUCGAUUCUAUAGAUUGCGAAGCUUAUAGAUUUUAAAGAAACAGCUGAUUAAAGUUUCAGAAUUAGACGUUCGUACAAAAGCAUCAAUACUUUGUUUCCAAAAGUUGAUCAUAAUAGACGCUAUUCAUAGACGCUCGUUAUCUUCCAGCGAUCGUAACGAAAUGAAUUCUCAAGCAGUCGCUAGAUCUUCGUAAUUUCAAGAAGCGGUAAAGUUGAAGACAAAUAAAUGAGAAGUAGAAAUUGCUAUGUAACUGAUUCCCGUUUUAAAACAAUAAACACGAACGAACGAGUUUAUAACAAGUUGGGAUGUAGUUAUCAAGAACAGCGAAAUUAUUGUUGAUCCCCCUGACUGCAACGCUAUCAAGAUAAAACUCAAUACUUAAUAAAACUGGAUACUCUAUAUAGAUACGAUCCAAUUCAAUUCAAAGUAGAGCAAAUCGGUGAAUUGCGUUCAAGCGUUGCUUAUCGAAGUAAUAUAAUUUUUGCCACGAUGAAUAGCGAAACUUUCUGCAUUGAUAAGCAAAUAUCUUGAGACUUGGCAAAAACAGACCAACGCGUACCGUCGGUGAAAGAGAUACAACGAGGCGAUAAAAGCGGUCAUGUGUUUAAAUUUAUAUGCUUUGAGUUCCGAAACGGCACUUUAAAAUGUAAGUGCAACAGAAAUAGACGACGCUGACACUCGAGUUGGUUCUAAUAAUCGAAUAAAACAGUGCUUGGAGCAACUUCUAAAUAUACGUAAUUUUCUAUCU